ACAUCGGUGGUGAAACGGUUAUCAUCCUUGCCUUCCAUUGGAAGUUAAGCAAGGGGCCCGGGUUCGACUCCCGGCCGAUGUA
Non-coding RNA from Peniophora sp. CONT, 82 nucleotides. The record is from Rfam. NCBI's taxonomy places the organism in Eukaryota, Fungi, Basidiomycota, Agaricomycetes, Russulales, Peniophoraceae.